AGAAAUCGUUAAGGGCGUAUGGCGGAUGCCUAGGCUUUCAGAGGCGAAGAAGGACGUGGUAAGCUGCGAAAAGCUACGGGGAUUGGCACACACGAAAUGAUCCGUAGAUAUCCGAAUGGGGCAACCCAGUAAGUUGAAGACUUACUACACCGUAAGGUGAGCGAACCCGGAGAACUGAAACAUCUAAGUACCCGGAGGAAAAGAAAUCGAAGAGAUUCCGUAAGUAGUGGCGAGCGAAAGCGGAUUAGCCCAAAAGUUUAUGUAUGUUUAGUGGAAUGUUUUGGAAAGAACAAUCAUAGAAGGUGAAAAUCCUGUACACGAAAGGCAUAUAUGGAUGAAGAAAGAGUAGGGCGGGACACGUGAAAUCCUGUCUGAAUAUGGGGGGACCAUCCUCCAAGGCUAAAUACUCCUGAAAGACCGAUAGUGAACAAGUACUGUGAAGGAAAGGUGAAAAGCACUUCGAAUAGAAGGGUGAAAGAGAACCUGAAACCGUACGCCUACAAGCGGUCGGAGCAGUUAUAUACUGUGACGGCGUGCCUUUUGCAUAAUGAGCCUACGAGUUAAUUUUACUAGCGAGGUUAAGGUAUUAAGUACUGGAGCCGGAGCGAAAGCGAGUCUGAAUAGGGCGAAUAGUUAGUGGGAUUAGACGCGAAACCUUGUGAUCUACCCAUGGGCAGGUUGAAGCACUGGUAACACAGUGUGGAGGACCGAACCGGUUGACGUUGAAAAGUCUUCGGAUGACCUGUGGGUAGGGGUGAAAGGCCAAUCAAACUGGGAGAUAGCUCGUACUCCCCGAAAUGCAUUUAGGUGCAGCGUUGAUUUAGUUUAUUAGAGGUAGAGCUACUGAUUGGAUGCGGGGGUUUCACCGCCUACCAAUUCCUGACAAACUCCGAAUGCUAAUAAAUAAUGAUCAGCAGUGAGGGCAUGGGUGCUAAGGUCCAUGUCCGAGAGGGAAAGAACCCAGACCAACAGCUAAGGUCCCUAAAUAUAUGCUAAGUUGAAACAACGCGGUUGAACUGCAUUGACAGCUAGGAUGUUGGCUUGGAAGCAGCCAUUCAUUUAAAGAGUGCGUAACAGCUCACUAGUCGAGCGGUUCGGCAUGGAUAAUAAUCGGGCAUAAGCAUAUUACCGAAGCUAUGGCAACGAAAGUUGGGUAGGGGAGCAUUCUAUCGGCGCAGAAGCAUCACUGUGAGGUGAUGUGGAGCUUAUAGAAAAGAAAAUGUAGGCAUAAGUAACGAUAAAGCAGGCGAGAAACCUGCUCACCGAAAGACUAAGGGUUCCUCAGCCAUGCUAAUCAGCUGAGGGUUAGUCGGGACCUAACGCGAACCCGAGAGGGGAAGUGGAUGGACAAUGGGUUAAUAUUCCCAUACUUGCUCACGAAUAAAGGGGACGGUUCAGCUAGACUACUGGAGACUGACGGAAUAGUCAAGACCUAGCCUACGGGCGAAGUUGUUGUAGAGUAACUGGAUCCAAGAAAAGCCGAAGUGAAGCAACCCGUACCAUAAACCGACACAGGUAGUCGAGGAGAGAAUCCUAAGGUGCUCGAGUGAGUCGUGGCUAAGGAACUAGGCAAAAUAGUCUCGUAACUUCGGAAUAAGAGACGCCAACAGCGAUGUUGGCCGCAGUGAAGAGGCCCAGGCGACUGUUUAUCAAAAACACAGGACUCUGCUAAAUCGAAAGAUGCUGUAUAGGGUCUGACACCUGCCCGGUGCUGGAAGGUUAAGGAAGGUGCUUAGCGUAAGCGAAGGCAUUGACUGAAGCCCCAGUAAACGGCGGCCGUAACUAUAACGGUCCUAAGGUAGCGAAAUUCCUUGUCGGGUAAGUUCCGACCUGCACGAAUGGUGUAACGAUCUGGGUACUGUCUCAACCGCGAGCUCGGUGAAAUUGUAGUAUCGGUGAAGAUGCCGAUUACCCGCAACGGGACGAAAAGACCCCGUGAACCUUUACUAUAGCUUUGCAUUGGAUUUGGGUAACAAAUGUGUAGGAUAGGCCGGAGACUGAGAAUCGGGUACGCCAGUAUUCGUGGAGUCGCCGUUGAAAUACGGCCCUUUUGUUAUUUGGGUUCUAACUCGCUGAAGCGAGGACAUUGCAUGGUGGGUAGUUUGACUGGGGUGGUCGCCUCCAAAAGCGUAACGGAGGCUUCUAAAGGUACCCUCAGACCGAUUGGUAACCGGUCGUAGAGUG
Molecule: ribosomal RNA, 2184 nt
Filed under: human metagenome
Description: bacterial LSU rRNA
Rfam family: Bacterial large subunit ribosomal RNA
Source: RNAcentral